RNAcentral lists this unclassified non-coding RNA (500 nucleotides) under uncultured Glomus. RNAcentral's name for it is "SSU rRNA". It matches the Rfam family "Eukaryotic small subunit ribosomal RNA", at positions 591 to 1092 of the family's 1831-position model. Lineage: Eukaryota; Fungi; Glomeromycota; Glomeromycetes; Glomerales; Glomeraceae. The record is from RNAcentral.
CCAAUAGCGUAUAUUAAAGUUGUUGCAGUUAAAAAGCUCGUAGUUGAAUUUCGGGAUUAGUACGCUGGUCGUGCCUUCGGUAUGUACUGGUGUUACUGGUUCCUACCUUCUGACGAACCGUCAUGUCAUUAAUUUGGUGUGGCGGGAAAUCAGGACUGUUACUUUGAAAAAAUUAGAGUGUUUAAAGCAGGCUCGCGCUUGAAUACAUUAGCAUGGAAUAAUGAAAUAGGACGUUCGAUCCUAUUUUGUUGGUUUCUAGGAUCAACGUAAUGAUUAAUAGGGAUAGUUGGGGGCAUUAGUAUUCAAUUGUCAGAGGUGAAAUUCUUGGAUUUAUUGAAGACUAACUACUGCGAAAGCAUUUGCCAAGGAUGUUUUCAUUAAUCAAGAACGAAAGUUAGGGGAUCGAAGACGAUCAGAUACCGUCGUAGUCUUAACCAUAAACUAUGCCGACUAGGGAUCGGAUGAUGUUAAUUUUUUAAUGACUCAUUCGGCGCCUUACG